AAUAGCAAUCCACUGGUCUUAGGAACCAUCCAUCUUGGUGCAAAUCCAAGUAAAAGUA
Molecule: transfer RNA, 58 nt
Filed under: Limosa haemastica
Lineage: Eukaryota; Metazoa; Chordata; Aves; Charadriiformes; Scolopacidae
Description: tRNA-Leu
Source: RNAcentral